Molecule: ribosomal RNA, 460 nt
Filed under: uncultured Legionella sp.
Lineage: Bacteria; Pseudomonadati; Pseudomonadota; Gammaproteobacteria; Legionellales; Legionellaceae
Description: partial 16S ribosomal RNA
Rfam family: Bacterial small subunit ribosomal RNA
Source: RNAcentral
UAGNAAACAAGGGGGUGUGAAGAAGUCCUGAGGGUUGUAAAGCACNUUCAGUGGGGAGGAGUGGUAAAUGGUUAAGAGCUGGUUAGCAGGACGUUACCCACAGAUAAAGCACCCCGUAACUCUUUGCCAGCAGACGCGGUAAUAUAGAGGGGGCGAGAGUUUUUUUGAAUUACUGGGGGUAAAAAGUGCGUAGGGGGUUGUAUAAGUUACCUGUGAAAUCUCCGGGCUCUCCCCCUGCAGGUCACUUAAGAUAGUAUGACUCGAGUGUGGGAGAGGGUAGUGGAAUUUCCGGUGUGUCGAGGAAAAAUUUAGAGAUAGGAAGAAACACCAGUGGGGAAGGGGGGUACCUGGCGUCAUACUGACACUGAGGCACGANAGCGUGGGGAGCAAACACGAUUAGAUACCCCGGUAGUGCACGCGCUAAAAGAUGUCAAUUAGCUGUUGUCGUUAUCAAUGAGGU